RNAcentral lists this ribosomal RNA (492 nucleotides) under uncultured bacterium. RNAcentral describes it as "partial 16S ribosomal RNA". It matches the Rfam family "Bacterial small subunit ribosomal RNA", at positions 29 to 507 of the family's 1533-position model. The record is from RNAcentral.
AGUGAACGCUGGCGGUAGGCCUAACACAUGCAAGUCGAACGGCAGCACAGUAAGAGCUUGCUCUUACGGGUGGCGAGUGGCGGACGGGUGAGGAAUACAUCGGAAUCUACUUUUUCGUGGGGGAUAACGUAGGGAAACUUACGCUAAUACCGCAUACGACCUACGGGUGAAAGCAGGGGAUCUUCGGACCUUGCGCGAUUGAAUGAGCCGAUGUCGGAUUAGCUAGUUGGCGGGGUAAAGGCCCACCAAGGCGACGAUCCGUAGCUGGUCUGAGAGGAUGAUCAGCCACACUGGAACUGAGACACGGCCCAGACUCCUACGGGAGGCAGCAGUGGGGAAGAUUGGACAAUGGGCGCAAGCCUGAUCCAGCCAUACCGCGUGGGUGAAGAAGGCCUUCGGGUUGUAAAGCCCUUUUGUUGGGAAAGAAAAGCAGCAGGUUAAUACCCCGCUGUUCUGACGGUACCCAAAGAAUAAGCACCGGCUAACUUCGUG